This 24-nucleotide non-coding RNA is filed under the name Arabidopsis thaliana (thale cress). The record is from RNAcentral. Lineage: Eukaryota; Viridiplantae; Streptophyta; Magnoliopsida; Brassicales; Brassicaceae.
AUGUGCAUUGGAUUCUUACACAUU